ACCUAGGGUUUUGACCGCAGUCCCUAUAUAUGUAUGGGUGUGAAUAUGUGUGUGUUAAUCGCACUCAACUAGCUUAGAUCUCAUUCGAAUUUGAUUUUUUAUCUGUUAUUUCGCGACGAUUUGAUCAAAUUUGCGACGAGCCAUAAUCCAUGUUCGUAUAACUCUAAUUCAAAUUCGUCGCCAGAAAAAGCUUAUUCCUUCGUUGAGAUCUCCGAUUUCCGAAGUCUCUCUAAGAACGACUGAUGAGGAUCCUAUUGGUAAGCUCAUUCAAUUCGGCAAGCCUUGAAGGACGAGACGGGUGCCCUGAUAAAACGUGAAGUGGACUAUACUUGCGGGUAGAGCUCAAACGACGCUUGCAAGUAGAGCUGGAAACAGCAGUCCCUCAACCGGUCCAACAUCGAGUUCGUUUACGUAGACCUAAGAGUCAGCCUGCCCGGAGGCCUAUUCAGCUUCAUAUGGGCCUGCUCAAUGGGAAGGCACCCGCGAGCGAAUCAGAAGCCCAAUUGCGUCUGGCGGGCGAAGAGGGUGUCAUUGCGGAUGUUGCUCAUGCGAUGCUAUACGAAAUGCUGUGUGAAUACCACAAGAUGUACAUAGCUGAAACUGAUGAGGAAAUGAAGAACGUGCUAAGGGAUAUUAUCAAAGCUCUAAAGUUUAAUUACUGGGACGCCUAUGUGGUGCUGAUGGGUUCCGUCAAGUUUCGUGCUAGUGUUGCUGCUGGCUGGCCGAAGCAGAUGAGGCUCCACAUCUCCGGCGAGUAUAGCAGCAGUACCGGUUCCCACGACCUCUUUGAUGAUGCUGAAGAGACCCCUCCACCGGUUCCCCCGCCAACCACGCAGCCGUCGCCCAGUUGGUCAAAUGACGGCAACGCCGAUGUCUAGGGGAGGCGCCAGCAGGUCCCAGGAGGUCCAAUCGGCAGCUCCUAGUGCCGUGCUCAGGCCCGCUCUCAUCAACCUUGUGCGCGUGCGACAACAGAUGAGCAUGUUCGAGGUCAUAAGGAGGUGGAAAACAACGUAUGACCCCUUAUACAAGAUGUUGGAGGGUAUCAUCCAAAUUAUGAGGCUCGAUUUGGGGCUCCCACCCCUCACUGGGGGUGCCGCUAGGGGAGCCUCUGGGGACUCCGAUGCCAUCGGGACUGGCCAAGGGGACUCCAAAGAGUACGGGUGCCCGCGUGUCGUGAAGCUUUGAGAUGAUAUUUUUUUAACUAUGUAUUUUUUUUAAUUGAACUAUGUAUCUUUUCUUCAUGAAAUAAAAUGGUU
This is an RNA transcript of Salvia splendens (bonfire salvia), 1256 nucleotides long. RefSeq lists it as uncharacterized. Lineage: Eukaryota; Viridiplantae; Streptophyta; Magnoliopsida; Lamiales; Lamiaceae. The transcript has 3 exons. The record is from RefSeq and is a predicted model, not a curated record.